CGGGUGAGUAACACGUGGGUAACCUGCCCAUCAGAAGGGGAUAACACUUGGAAACAGGUGCUAAUACCGUAUAACAAUCGAAACCGCAUUGGUUUCGGUUUGAAAGGCGCUUUUGCGUCACUGAUGGAUGGACCCGCGGUGCAUUAGCUAGUUGGUGAGGUAACGGCUCACCAAGGCAACGAUGCAUAGCCGACCUGAGAGGGUGAUCGGCCACAUUGGGACUGAGACACGGCCCAA
RNAcentral lists this ribosomal RNA (237 nucleotides) under uncultured bacterium. RNAcentral describes it as "partial 16S ribosomal RNA". It matches the Rfam family "Bacterial small subunit ribosomal RNA", at positions 103 to 334 of the family's 1533-position model. The record is from RNAcentral.